AACGAUGAAUGCUAAGUGUGGAGGGUUCCGCCUUCAGUGCUGCAGCUAACGCAUUAAGCAUUCCGCUGGGGAGUACGGCCGCAAGGCUGAAACUCAAAGGAAUCGACGGGGGCCCGCACAAGCGGUGGAGCAUGUGGUUUAAUUCGAAGCUACGCGAAGAACCUUACCAGGUCUUGACAUACUAUGCAAAUCUAAGAGAUUAGACGUUCCCUUCGGGGACAUGGAUACAGGUGGUGCAUGGUUGUCGUCAGCUCGUGUCGUGAGAUGUUGGGUUAAGUCCCGCAACGAGCGCAACCCUUAUUAUCAGUUGCCAGCAUUAAGUUGGGCACUCUGGUGAGACUGCCGGUGACAAACCGGAGGAAGGUGGGGAUGACGUCAAAUCAUCACGCCCCUUAUGACCUGGGCUACACACGUGCUACAAUGGAUGGUACAACGAGUUGCGAACUCGCGAGAGUAAGCUAAUCUCUUAAAGCCAUUCUCAGUUCGGAUUGUAGGCUGCAACUCGCCUACAUGAAGUCGGAAUCGCUAGUAAUCGCGGAUCAGCAUGCCGCGGUGAAUACGUUCCCGGGCCUUGUACACACCGCCCGUCACACCAUGAGAGUUUGUAACACCCAAAGUCGGUGGGGUAACCUUUAGGAACCAGCCGCCUAAGGUGGGACAGAUGAUUAGGGUGAAGUCGUAACAAGGUAACCA
This 693-nucleotide ribosomal RNA is filed under the name uncultured Lactobacillus sp. RNAcentral's name for it is "bacterial SSU rRNA". It matches the Rfam family "Bacterial small subunit ribosomal RNA", at positions 805 to 1502 of the family's 1533-position model. Lineage: Bacteria; Bacillati; Bacillota; Bacilli; Lactobacillales; Lactobacillaceae. The record is from RNAcentral.